UACGUAGGAGGCGAGCGUUGUCCGGAGUUACUGGGCGUAAAGGGUGCGCAGGCGGUGGUGCACGUGGAUAGAUGAAAUCUCCCGGCUUACCUGGGAGGGUGGUAUCCAGACGGCAUCACUUGAGGGUCGGAGAGGGGCGUGGAAUUCCGGGUGGAGCGGUGAAAUGCGUAGAGAUCCGGAGGAACACCGACGGCGUAGGCAGCGCCCUGGACGACACCUGACGCUGAGGCACGAAAGCUGGGGGAGCGAACAGG
RNAcentral lists this ribosomal RNA (254 nucleotides) under uncultured bacterium. Its description in RNAcentral is "partial 16S ribosomal RNA". It matches the Rfam family "Bacterial small subunit ribosomal RNA", at positions 524 to 776 of the family's 1533-position model. The record is from RNAcentral.